Molecule: long non-coding RNA, 2463 nt
Organism: Vitis riparia (riverbank grape)
Lineage: Eukaryota; Viridiplantae; Streptophyta; Magnoliopsida; Vitales; Vitaceae
Exons: 4
Source: RefSeq, a predicted model, not a curated record
UUGUCCUCUCUAUGUCCUUAUUGUCCUCAGGUUCUCACCUUCUCAUUCCAAACAAUUUUUUUUUUUUCCUGUAGCAUGGAAAGUGAAAGAAACUGGAGGUAGGAAGACGAGGCUCUUGUGCCUCAUCUAUGGUGGUAUCUUCCUGGAGUGGAAUCUAGGGCGCGGCGGAAGCCAUACGCUUGAAAGAAGGGGAAGUGAAAGGCGGAGGACUUUUGAGUUUUAUUGGCCGAGAAGCAAGGGCACGGUGUCUCUCUAUGGAUUUAGUUCGGUCUCGGUGUGGAAGCUCGGGGAAUCAGCUUUGUGGAUAGUGGUUUUGUGGUUGUGGGAUUUUGGAAACCCUAGAUUUGGUUCAGGGUAGGGUUGUGUGGUUGACUGAUUAGGUUGGGAGCUGGGCUGCGCAUGCGAUUGACUGGGUUUUCAUGCCGUCAAAACCACUGCCUUGGGAUCGGAAGGACUUCUUCAAGGAGAGGAAGCACGAGAGGUCGGAGACUUUAGGUUUGCUGCAAGAUAGAGGGACUCACAUCAAGUUUCUUGGGAGUUUGCUCGUUGGGAUCGGCAGAUUUUCGCCGCCCUACAGGACAGUUGGGAAUUCAUAGGAAGAUUUGUCCAGAGAUGGUUAUUAUCUUUUGGCAGAAACACUCAAAGAUGAGGGUGAGAAAAAGGUUGUUCAAGCAGUUUUAGUGAAACAUAUCUGGGUUAAACUAGUCAAAGAUAACUUGUACCAUCAGGACUCUCAAAACCUUGUUGUGGAGAGGCGUGAAGAGUGACCUAUGGCGCUUGUCACUUUGAAUGCUUUUGAUCUCAUCUUGACAUCUCCUCGGUACUCUCUUUGAAAAGAUGAAACUUCAAGGGGAGAAAUUUGGAUGCAAGGGUCAUUUAUCUAUUGCAAUAGAGGCAUUUCUCUCUUAGUUGCCUUGUUUGCAGGAUCCCCUGACCAUGAGUUCAUUGGAACAUUACCUGAAGAUGUCUCAACUGGAUGUCAAUAAUUUACUUGGACAAAUUUUUGAAGUGGCCCUUUGCUAUACAUGGUCAAGCUUUGAAAAUCUGGGGGAGAUACUCUAGAAUUUCACAAGGUAUGUAUCUACUAUCUCAAUGCAAUUCUCAUAUUAAAUUAGAAUGAAUAUUGAAUUUUUAUCCCGAGCAUAUUGGUUGCCAAUAUCUUGUUUGAUACCGAAGCCCUACCCUCUUUUAUGUAAAAAGCAUGUGUGAUAAAAUGUAGUGAUGUUUAUGCUAAAACAAGCUUCUACUACUUAUCUUUAAUUUAUUCCAAAAAUAACUAGACCCCUAGAUAGGGGUCUCUUGGAUAUAAGGACCUUAAAUUCAAUGUAAGACCUGUAUUAAAUUGGCUCCUUAGGGAAUUGACACCCUGAGCACAAUAUUAUUUUCCCAUGUUAGGAAAGCAGUCCAUUUUUCUCUAUAAAUUAUGAUUAAUAAAUUCAAUCAUUCACUAAAUUUGUCUUAUGUGCAAUUCUACAAGAACCUCUCAAUUGGGUUGAAAGAUAUUGUCUAGAAAUCAGGAGAUGAAGUAAAAGAGGAAGUGAAUAAUGGUUAGUGUGCAUUAUAACAUGGAUUAAGUUCGCAUUUUGCUUGAGUUUAAAUCAUUGUUCCUUUAAUGGCUUUUAAAUGGUGGUCAAUACUUGAAUUUAUAAAUCUAGCCAUGCAAUUGCAUAGAUAGAAAAAGAAAUCAUAUGUAGAACUUGAGAAUAUUAGAAUUUGUAUGGUUUUUGAGAAAAUUUAAACAAAAGAAAAUAAAAAUGAAACAAUUUGUCAUUUCCUAAAAAAUGAAAAAGUUUCAUUGAUGAAAUCUUAUGCAAAAAUUUGUUUAGUCCGUUCUCUUAGAGUUUGGUUCUUGCAAAGUAAUACUUAAGUUAUAUAACAACAUGAAUAUUCUUUAUUCCCCUGCAUAAGGUUCAUCAGUUCCUUGAGGAAACUUCAUUCUUCAGUGACAUGCAAUAAUUGUUUUUGAAAGAUAGCUACUGUAAACAUAGAAUCAAUAUGAAAGCUUAUAUACAUGUCACUUAUAAUUAGUUGCCAUAUGCUCUAACCAUCCAUUCGUUAGCGCAUGCAUGGUGCCUAUUCUUGGUCUUCACAUUUUAUAGGCAUGGAGAUGAUACUGCAUUUGGCUUGUGGUUGUUUACAUGGUUUUGGAAAUUAUGGAUACGCAUGUUUGAGGCCUUUUGGUUUUGUAUGUCGUGGAAGAUACAAUUCCACCAAAGGAUUAUGACAGUGUCUUUUAAUGCAUUGCGGUCGAUAUGUCAUGGCAGGAGAGAUUACAAAAAUACAUAAAGAGGUAAAUCUAUGUUAUCUGCUAAUAAAAAUAACACCUUCUUUGUUUUGGUGGGAUUUGUGAACUAAAAGAAAUGUUUUUGACUCACUAACCUUCUACAUUUCAUACAAUGUGUCCAAGUUGGGGAAAGACCUCAUAAAGCUGACCUUGGUAAGCAGAAUGAUCUUUUUCUUGUA